RNAcentral lists this ribosomal RNA (773 nucleotides) under uncultured Streptococcus sp. RNAcentral describes it as "bacterial SSU rRNA". It matches the Rfam family "Bacterial small subunit ribosomal RNA", at positions 28 to 776 of the family's 1533-position model. Lineage: Bacteria; Bacillati; Bacillota; Bacilli; Lactobacillales; Streptococcaceae. The record is from RNAcentral.
GACGAACGCUGGCGGCGUGCCUAAUACAUGCAAGUAGAACGCACAGGAUGCACCGUAGUUUACUACACCGUAUUCUGUGAGUUGCGAACGGGUGAGUAACGCGUAGGUAACCUGCCUGGUAGCGGGGGAUAACUAUUGGAAACGAUAGCUAAUACCGCAUAAGAACAUUUACUGCAUGGUAGAUGUUUAAAAGGUGCAAAUGCAUCACUACCAGAUGGACCUGCGUUGUAUUAGCUAGUAGGUGAGGUAACGGCUCACCUAGGCGACGAUACAUAGCCGACCUGAGAGGGUGAUCGGCCACACUGGGACUGAGACACGGCCCAGACUCCUACGGGAGGCAGCAGUAGGGAAUCUUCGGCAAUGGGGGGAACCCUGACCGAGCAACGCCGCGUGAGUGAAGAAGGUUUUCGGAUCGUAAAGCUCUGUUGUUAAGGAAGAACAAGUGUGAGAAUGGAAAGUUCAUACUGUGACGGUACUUAACCAGAAAGGGACGGCUAACUACGUGCCAGCAGCCGCGGUAAUACGUAGGUCCCGAGCGUUGUCCGGAUUUAUUGGGCGUAAAGCGAGCGCAGGCGGUUAGAUAAGUCUGAAGUUAAAGGCAGUGGCUCAACCAUUGUAGGCUUUGGAAACUGUUUAACUUGAGUGCAGAAGGGGAGAGUGGAAUUCCAUGUGUAGCGGUGAAAUGCGUAGAUAUAUGGAGGAACACCGGUGGCGAAAGCGGCUCUCUGGUCUGUAACUGACGCUGAGGCUCGAAAGCGUGGGGAGCGAACAGG